GAUGAACGCUGGCGGCGUGCCUAAUACAUGCAAGUCGAGCGAACGGACGAGAAGCUUGCUUCUCUGAUGUUAGCGGCGGACGGGUGAGUAACACGUGGAUAACCUACCUAUAAGACUGGGAUAACUUCGGGAAACCGGAGCUAAUACCGGAUAAUAUUUUGAACCGCAUGGUUCAAAAGUGAAAGACGGUAUUGCUGUCACUUAUAGAUGGAUCCGCGCUGCAUUAGCUAGUUGGUAAGGUAACGGCUUACCAAGGCAACGAUGCAUAGCCGACCUGAGAGGGUGAUCGGCCACACUGGAACUGAGACACGGUCCAGACUCCUACGGGAGGCAGCAGUAGGGAAUCUUCCGCAAUGGGCGAAAGCCUGACGGAGCAACGCCGCGUGAGUGAUGAAGGUCUUCGGAUCGUAAAACUCUGCUAUUAGGGAAGAACAUAUGUGUAAGUAACUGUGCACAUCUUGACGGUACCUAAUCAGAAAGCCACGGCUAACUACGUG
This 497-nucleotide ribosomal RNA is filed under the name uncultured bacterium. RNAcentral describes it as "partial 16S ribosomal RNA". It matches the Rfam family "Bacterial small subunit ribosomal RNA", at positions 28 to 507 of the family's 1533-position model. The record is from RNAcentral.